RNAcentral lists this ribosomal RNA (1704 nucleotides) under Cohnella luojiensis. RNAcentral's name for it is "partial 23S ribosomal RNA". It matches the Rfam family "Bacterial large subunit ribosomal RNA", at positions 1222 to 2925 of the family's 2925-position model. Lineage: Bacteria; Bacillati; Bacillota; Bacilli; Caryophanales; Paenibacillaceae. The record is from RNAcentral.
ACUUGGGUAGGGGAGCGUUGUAUGCGGGUAGAAGUCAGACCGUAAGGACUGGUGGACUGCAUAGAAGUGAGAAUGCCGGUAUGAGUAACGAAAAGACAGGUGAGAAUCCUGUCCGCCGAAAGCCUAAGGGUUCCUGGGGUAGGUUCGUCCGCCCAGGGUAAGUCGGGACCUAACGCGAGGCCGAAAGGCGUAGUGGAUGGACAACAGGUUGAAAUUCCUGUACCACCGUAAUCCGUUAUGAGCGAUGGGGGGACGCAGGAGGGGAACGACGCGAGCUGAUGGAAUAGCUCGUCCAAGCAGUGAGAGGUGUGUGUAGGCAAAUCCGCACACUGAUACCUCAAGCUGUGAUGGGGAGGGAAAAUCAUAGUACCGAAGGUCAUGUACCCACGCUGCCAAGAAAAGCCUCUAGCCAGGAGAAGGUGCCCGUACCGCAAACCGACACAGGUGGGCGAGAUGAGAAUUCUAAGGCGCGCGGAAGAACUCUCGUUAAGGAACUCGGCAAAAUGACCCCGUAACUUCGGGAGAAGGGGUGCCCCGGUAGUGUGAAUAGCACGAGGGGGCCGCAGUGAAGAGGCCCAAGCGACUGUUUAGCAAAAACACAGGUCUGUGCGAAGCCGCAAGGCGAAGUAUACGGGCUGACGCCUGCCCGGUGCUGGAAGGUUAAGAGGAGUGGUUAGCCGCAAGGCGAAGCUAUGAAUUGAAGCCCCAGUAAACGGCGGCCGUAACUAUAACGGUCCUAAGGUAGCGAAAUUCCUUGUCAGGUAAAUUCUGACCCGCACGAAUGGCGUAACGACUUGGGCGCUGUCUCAACGAGAGAUCCGGUGAAAUUUUAGUACCUGUGAAGAUGCAGGUUACCCGCGACGUGACGGAAAGACCCCAUGGAGCUUUACUGUAGCUUGAUAUUGAACUUUGGUACGGUCUGUACAGGAUAGGUGGGAGCCUGAGAACUAGGAGCGCAAGCUUCUAGGGAGGCGCCGUUGGGAUACCACCCUGAUCGUAUCGGAGUUCUAACUCACUACCCUUAUCGGGUAGGAGGACCGUGUCAGGCGGACAGUUUGACUGGGGCGGUCGCCUCCUAAAGCGUAACGGAGGCGCUCUAAGGUUCCCUCAGCGCGGUUGGAAAUCGCGCGCAGAGUGCAAAGGCAUAAGGGAGCUUGACUGCGAGACCUACAAGUCGAGCAGGGACGAAAGUCGGACUUAGUGAUCCGGUGGUACCGAAUGGAAGGGCCAUCGCUCAACGGAUAAAAGCUACCCUGGGGAUAACAGGCUUAUCUCCCCCAAGAGUCCACAUCGACGGGGAGGUUUGGCACCUCGAUGUCGGCUCAUCGCAUCCUGGGGCUGAAGUAGGUCCCAAGGGUUGGGCUGUUCGCCCAUUAAAGCGGUACGCGAGCUGGGUUCAGAACGUCGUGAGACAGUUCGGUCCCUAUCUGUCGCGGGCGUAGGAAAUUUGAGAGGGGCUGUCCUUAGUACGAGAGGACCGGGAUGGACGCACCGCUGGUGUACCAGUUGUUCCGCCAGGAGCAUCGCUGGGUAGCCAAGUGCGGAAGGGAUAAGCGCUGAAAGCAUCUAAGCGCGAAGCCUGCCUCAAGAUGAGAUUUCCCAAUUCGUAAGACCCCUGGAAGAACACCAGGUUGAUAGGCUCGGGGUGGAAGCGCGGCAACGUGUGCAGCUGACGAGUACUAAUCGGUCGAGGGCUUAUCCUAA